CCUGUUCUCUCUGUGUUGUCAUCUGUUGGAUCAGUGUGUGUUGUGGUUCUACUGGUGUUACUGGUUCUGCUGGUGAGAAGAUAUGUUCACAGGAAACCUGAAGGGAGGGUUUCAAUUGCAGUGGAUUCAACAGUGAGAACAGAAGAUGUCAGUUAUGAAGAAAUCAUCAUCAUCAAAGAAACUGAAAAAAAGUCAAAGAUGAGAGACUUUAAACCAGAGCCAGACGGCAUCUACUCUUUACUGAAGUAGUCCACCAGUCCAACCAAUGACGUCCAGCUGUUGGUCUCCAACUGGUCCCCCCAGCACCUCAGACCAGAGGACAUCCACAGAUUUUUAUAUGUUUUAUGUCUUUUGUCUCUAUUUAAAUAUGUAUUUUACAGUAAAAUCAACGAUAAGAAAAUAAGUAUGUUAAUAUAUUUGCGUGCAUCAACAUUUCCACUUAUAUUUAUUUUAUCUUUGUGUUUCUUGUAUAAAGUUCUCGAUUGUUUUCCUCGUGUGGUUCUGUGGGUUUCACCAAAGUGUCAGAUGGAACAUUUGAGUUGUUCUGUCUGAUUGUGGUUAACUGCUACACUCCUCUCUUCAGGGCAGAAAACAAACAGAAAACAUUAGACGACAACCGCAGACUUAAAGCAAUAGGAACAUUGUUCAGUGGUUUAAAACUGCAUUGGAAAUAUCUGUAAAGUAUUUGUGAGAUGUAGAUUCUUCUUUAACACUUUGUUUGCUGCUUAAAACACUGGGAAGUUUGGAGUCACCGUGUCUGACCUUGUUCUC
Long non-coding RNA from Pelmatolapia mariae (spotted tilapia), 771 nucleotides. RefSeq lists it as uncharacterized. NCBI's taxonomy places the organism in Eukaryota, Metazoa, Chordata, Actinopteri, Cichliformes, Cichlidae. The transcript has 3 exons. The record is from RefSeq and is a predicted model, not a curated record.